UUUCACCACAGCAAACUCGUAUAUGAUCAGAAUGUAUGAAAAAAAAUCCCGAAAAGAAUCAACUUCAUGGCUGUCCGGCAGCCGGUGGAGGCGGCGACGAGUAGUCGUAGGCCGGCAGCUUCCACGUCGCCGGUGGUGGAGGCGAGAGGUACCGGUCCUCUGGUGACACCUCGUAGUUGGGCGACCCUGGUAGGUCGUAGUGUGGCGGCGUUGUCGGCUCUUCGUAGGCUGGCGGUGGCGGCGACAGGUACCGGUCCUCCGGUGACACCUCGUAGUAUGGCGGAGGUGGAGACUCUUGGUAAGCUGGGGGUGGCGGUGACUGGUACCGGUCCUCCGGCGACACCUCGUAGUGGGGUGGAGGUGGAGACUCUUGGUAAGCCGGGGGUGGCGGUGAGUGGUACCGGUCCUCCGGUGACACCUCGUAGUAGGGAGCUGGCACCUCGUAGUGGGGAGGCGUUGUCGGCUCUUGGUACGCUGGAG
Molecule: long non-coding RNA, 480 nt
Filed under: Hordeum vulgare
Lineage: Eukaryota; Viridiplantae; Streptophyta; Magnoliopsida; Poales; Poaceae
Description: long non-coding RNA (HVUL_LNC007563)
Source: RNAcentral